ACUCAAACAGGUAUUUGUACACGCAUGCUCAUACAGCAUUCGUCACAAAAGCUAAAAGGUGGAAGCCAUCCAACUGUCUACCAGCAGAUGAAUAGGUAAACAAACUGUGGUAUAUACAUACGAUGGAAUAUCUCAUCGGUCUUUAAAAGGGAUGAAAUACUGAUACACUACGGAAGUGCUGAUACUACAACAACAUGAAUGAAUCUUGGAGACGUUACGCUGUGAAAUCACCCAGUCACAGAAGGACAAAAACCAUAGAGUUCCACCCAUAACGAGCAUAACUAUUAAAUCCAAGAAGGCAGAGGAGGAGAAGAAGAAAAGACAAAACCAUGGAUAUCUCAGAUGUUAAAGGAUCUUUCCAGUGGGCCGGUGUUGUAAAGGCCACAUGCAUCCACUCAUCUUUGCAGAGAGGAUGAAUUGGAACCAGCUCCAGAGGUGACGGGUGUGUUUGGUGUGGCCAGUGCUCAUUUAACCUAUUUGAAUACUCAAGGGAAUGUAAUCAGAAAAGGCGGGAAUAGACUCCAUCCCCCCAGAAACUCAAGCUGAAAGGAGCUAAAAUAUCAAACAUGCAUUCUAAGGAAUCACUAUUGCUUCUCAGAAGGUUCUCUGCCCCUCUGUUUUUUCUAAAAGGCAUCCCAGUCU
This is a long non-coding RNA of Prionailurus viverrinus (fishing cat), 642 nucleotides long. RefSeq lists it as uncharacterized. The record is from RefSeq and is a predicted model, not a curated record. NCBI's taxonomy places the organism in Eukaryota, Metazoa, Chordata, Mammalia, Carnivora, Felidae. The transcript is spliced from 3 exons.